CGCAAGCCUGAUCCAGCCAUUCCGCGUGAGUGAAGAAGGCCUUCGGGUUGUAAAGCUCUUUCGCAAGGGAAGAAACGAUAGUAGUGAAUAACUGCUGUUAAUGACGGUACCUUGAUAAGAAGCACCGGCUAACUACGUGCCAGCAGCCGCGGUAAUACGUAGGGUGCGAGCGUUAAUCGGAAUUACUGGGCGUAAAGCGUGCGCAGGCUGUUUUGUAAGUCAGAUGUGAAAUCCCCGAGCUCAACUUGGGAACUGCGUUUGAAACUACAAGACUAGAAUAGGUCAGAGGGGGGUAGAAUUCCA
This 303-nucleotide ribosomal RNA is filed under the name uncultured beta proteobacterium. RNAcentral describes it as "bacterial SSU rRNA". It matches the Rfam family "Bacterial small subunit ribosomal RNA", at positions 376 to 671 of the family's 1533-position model. The record is from RNAcentral. Lineage: Bacteria; Pseudomonadati; Pseudomonadota; Betaproteobacteria.